CUUGCCAGACGAGCUGAGAGGAGGUGCAUGGCCGUCGCCGGCUCGUGCCGUGAGGUGUCCAGUUAAGUCUGGGAACGAGCGAGACCCCCGCCCCUAGUUGCCACCCAGCCCCUUCGGGGGCUGGAGCACUCUAGGGGGACUGCCGGCGACAAGCCGGAGGAAGGAGGGGGCUACGGCAGGUCAGUAUGCCCCGAAACCCCCGGGCUACACGCGAGCUGCAAUGGCGGGGACAGCGGGUUCCGACCCCGAAAGGGGAAGGCAAUCCCUUAAACCCCGCCUCAGUAGGAAUCGAGGGCUGCAACUCGCCCUCGUGAACCUGGAAUCCCUAGUAACCGCGUGUCACCAACGCGCGGUGAAUACGUCCCUGCUCCU
RNAcentral lists this ribosomal RNA (372 nucleotides) under uncultured archaeon. RNAcentral's name for it is "bacterial SSU rRNA". It matches the Rfam family "Archaeal small subunit ribosomal RNA", at positions 967 to 1337 of the family's 1478-position model. The record is from RNAcentral.